Molecule: long non-coding RNA, 654 nt
Organism: Micropterus salmoides (largemouth bass)
Lineage: Eukaryota; Metazoa; Chordata; Actinopteri; Centrarchiformes; Centrarchidae
Exons: 3
Source: RefSeq, a predicted model, not a curated record
UGAAUUUUUACACGACAUUAAAAGCAGACACACGACGCUGCUGACAGAGUUUUUGAUUUCGUACUUUUAUUAAAAUCUUUUGUUUUGUGGAAAUAACACUUAUCUGCCUACACUUGUUCUCUUGCUUGUCGCCGAAUUUACCUUGUGACGACUCCCGGUUUGUUUUCCGCCACUUUUAACUCCCAUGUUCCAGUCAGGAACAACACAGAUGUUUGCUGCCAUGGCCAUAGCAUCAACAGUGCCUCUGUUGGGGUUCUUGGAUCAUAAGCAUGAUGUGCAGAAGCCACCACAACACUAUGGACUAUGUGAUGGAAUUUUAAUAUCUAGAUGUUUCAAAGUUCUAGGACGAGUUUUACCGUCAGACUGGAAGAAUCUGCCAGAAAGAGGAUCGCACUCCGAUGAAGGAAGAAUACCAGAAAUACAAACAGCUCAAGGCUAAACUGCGUUUGCUGGAAGUCCCCUCAGCAAACAGGAAGUCACCAAAACCGUGUGAGAGGAAGUGGAAACUCCCAGAGACUGCCUCCACCCUGAAACUCUGCAUGAGAAAAGAGCUUUCUGUGUUGAGAGGAGAGGAAGAGUUACAGAAAGAAACGUGUUGAGCUCCGGCGAAGCGCCCGGCCGGCCGGCGAGGAGCCAAGAAGACGGAGCAGCAGA